RNAcentral lists this ribosomal RNA (252 nucleotides) under uncultured Bacteroidales bacterium. RNAcentral describes it as "partial 16S ribosomal RNA". It matches the Rfam family "Bacterial small subunit ribosomal RNA", at positions 524 to 776 of the family's 1533-position model. The record is from RNAcentral. Lineage: Bacteria; Pseudomonadati; Bacteroidota; Bacteroidia; Bacteroidales.
UACGGAGGAUGCGAGCGUUAUCCGGAUUUAUUGGGUUUAAAGGGUGCGCAGGCGGCGUGUCAAGCAAGCGGUAAAAUAGCGGGGCUCAACCCCGUCGAGCCGUUUGAACUGGCGCGCUUGAGUUCAGGCGAGGUAGGCGGAAUUCGUGGUGUAGCGGUGAAAUGCAUAGAUAUAUGGAAGAACACCAGUGGCGAAGGCGGCCUGCUGGACAAUAACUGACGCUGAGGCGCGAAAGCGUGGGGAGCAAACAGG